This 326-nucleotide ribosomal RNA is filed under the name uncultured bacterium. Its description in RNAcentral is "bacterial SSU rRNA". It matches the Rfam family "Bacterial small subunit ribosomal RNA", at positions 28 to 334 of the family's 1533-position model. The record is from RNAcentral.
GAUGAACGCUGGCGGCGUGCCUAACACAUGCAAGUCGAGCGAAGCACCUUACUUGAUUUCUUCGGGAUGAAAGUAUUGUGACUGAGCGGCGGACGGGUGAGUAACGCGUGGAUAACCUGCCUCAUACAGGGGGAUAACAGUUAGAAAUGACUGCUAAUACCGCAUAAGACCACAGCACCGCAUGGUGCAGGGGUAAAAACUCCAGUGGUAUGAGAUGGAUCCGCGUCUGAUUAGCUGGUUGGUGAGGUAACGGCCCACCAAGGCGACGAUCCAUAGCCGGCCUGAGAGGGGUGAACGGCCACAUUGGGACUGAGACACGGGCCCAG